GCUGUUAUGGCUCAGUUGGUAGAACCACCUUGGUAAGGUGGAGGGCCCGGGUUCGAAUCCCGGUAACAGCUCCA
Molecule: transfer RNA, 74 nt
Filed under: Clostridia bacterium
Lineage: Bacteria; Bacillati; Bacillota; Clostridia
Description: tRNA-Thr
Rfam family: tRNA
About the family: Transfer RNA (tRNA) molecules are approximately 80 nucleotides in length.
Source: RNAcentral